RNAcentral lists this ribosomal RNA (481 nucleotides) under uncultured bacterium. RNAcentral's name for it is "partial 16S ribosomal RNA". It matches the Rfam family "Bacterial small subunit ribosomal RNA", at positions 28 to 523 of the family's 1533-position model. The record is from RNAcentral.
GACGAACGCUGGCGGCGUGCCUAACACAUGCAAGUCGAACGGAGAUAUGAUUUCGGUUAUAUCUUAGUGGCGAACGGGUGAGUAACGCGUGAGCAACCUGACUCUUAGAGGGGGAUAACACCCGGAAACGAGUGCUAAUACCGCAUAAGACCACGACCUGGCAUCAUGAAGAGGUCAAAGGAGCAAUCCGCUGAGAGAGGGGCUCGCGUCCCAUUAGAUAGAUGGCGGGGUAACGGCCCACCAUGUCAGCGAUGGGUAGCCGAGCUGAGAGGCUGAUCGGCCACACUGGAACUGAGACACGGUCCAGACUCCUACGGGAGGCAGCAGUGGGGAAUAUUGGGCAAUGGGCGCAAGCCUGACCCAGCAACGCCGCGUGAGGGAAGAAGGCUUUCGGGUUGUAAACCUCUGUCCUUGGUGACGAAACAAAUGACGGUAGCCAAGGAGGAAGCCCCGGCUAACUACGUGCCAGCCGCCGCGGUAA